UUUCCGUAGGUGAACCUGCGGAAGGAUCAUUAUUGUAUAACCGAGGUGCGAGGGCUGUCGCUGACCCGAAAGGUCGUGCACGCCCGAGUGCCCUCACACACAUCCAUCUCACCCCUAUGUGCACCACCGCGUGGGUCCCCCUUUGGCUUGUUCGGAGGGGGGCUUACGUUUUCACACAAACUUUGUAUGCAGUGUAGAAUGUAUUUUUUGUUUUUGCGAUCACGCAAUCAAUACAACUUUCAACAACGGAUCUCUUGGCUCUCGCAUCGAUGAAGAACGAAGC
This 283-nucleotide unclassified non-coding RNA is filed under the name plant metagenome. RNAcentral describes it as "partial contains small subunit ribosomal RNA, internal transcribed spacer 1, and 5.8S ribosomal RNA". The stretch from base 235 to 283 matches the Rfam family "5.8S ribosomal RNA", at positions 1 to 49 of the family's 154-position model. The record is from RNAcentral.